CGAAUGUGUGAAUGUUGAACGGGUGAAAUCUACAAAGAAAUAAACCACACGGAUAGCCAACUGGGCCGUUGAUCUGCUACAACCAUCCGACGAUGUAAAAUGAAAGCACACGGAUCACCCCAUUGUUGUUCGUCUACAUCUAUGCGUAUAACCCCUCCUUAAACAAAUCUCCUUUUCCAGUACUCUCGAAACAAAACCUAACGGCCGACACCAACACCCCUUACGUUAUCCACCCAUAAUAUUUGCUCUUUUCAUUUCUCCAUCGUCUCUCCCCAUUCAAAAUCUGCAACAUCAGCCGACAUCAAUACCAGUCGGCUCCUCUUCAAACUACCAUUAAGAACCACCAUGAUCUCUUCCACUCCCUUUAUCACAUCGGAGAGCUUCUCUCUCUUCUUCGUUAUUGAUCUUGUCAAAACCCUAGAUCUAAAAACAAAUCCAUCUUAAGAUUUGUUGGUUCGAUUUUAGUUUCUACCAAUUCUGUUAGGUUUAGAUUUCUAUUUAAUUUAACAUUUUAUUUUUUUAUACUAAUUUGUGUUCUUACAUGUAUGAUUCCUAAAAGUUGUAUUUAAGUUCUUGCAGAUUCAUUUUUUACUUAUUUGUCUUCAUUUGUGUUCUUACAUGUACCACAGUCGCUGCCUUGCUCCAACACAGUUACAGUUGCUCAUAUCUAUGCACCAACACACAUGAAUUAAGUUUCCUAUAUCGUGACACAAAAGCAAGGUUAUUAGAUCCAGUUAUUGUUUGUCUUACCUGGUUAGAAGUUCCUUAUUUUAUUGAGUUUUUAUGUAUGUUUUUUGUUUGUUCUCUUAUGGAUUUCUACUCUAACCUAACCCUCUUGCCCAUGUCUCUGUAUUCUACUGAAGAGUGCAAGGAAUAUAUGGAAGAAAGUAGACACAGAUUAGGCAAUGACUUUUAAACAUUGAAUUCUUUACAAAUAUGUUUGUUUCUUCUUCGAUUAUGCUAUUUUUCAAGCAUUUAAACCAUGUUUGCAUUAUUUAUGUCUCCAUCUUUGUACAUGGGUUUAAUACAUGUAUCUAAUAGGGCUCAUGUUUUUGUUUUCAGAUUUAGCUGACUUCAUCACCCUCUGUUCCUAGAUAUGUUCUUGGACUUGAUUUUUUUUUUUUUUUUUUGUAUAUUUUGUUUUCAUGUAUUAAUAAAAAGCUAUCUAUACAUGAAUAAAAAAUGAAAUCUUCAAUGUUUGGCCAUUUUUUGUUUUGGUGUAUGGGGUUUAUGGAUUUUUCGUUUUUUUACAUCUUGGUAUAAAAGUAAUCUAUGUAUAAGAAUUGAAAAAAAUUGAUCAUGAAGUUUUUAGCUUCUUGUGGAGAGAUCAUCUAUACUUUUCCAAUGAAAGUAUAUUGCAUCUCCUUGAGCAUGAGUGAGUGUUUUAAUUAAAAUGUUUAUGAAGUGUUUUGGAUUGUCUUAGUUUAGUCAGGAAACAGUAGACAAA
RNAcentral lists this long non-coding RNA (1447 nucleotides) under Lactuca sativa (garden lettuce). RNAcentral describes it as "long non-coding RNA (LSAT_LNC009340)". Lineage: Eukaryota; Viridiplantae; Streptophyta; Magnoliopsida; Asterales; Asteraceae. The record is from RNAcentral.